This 503-nucleotide ribosomal RNA is filed under the name uncultured bacterium. RNAcentral describes it as "partial 16S ribosomal RNA". It matches the Rfam family "Bacterial small subunit ribosomal RNA", at positions 30 to 523 of the family's 1533-position model. The record is from RNAcentral.
AUUGAACGCUGGCGGCAGGCUUAACACAUGCAAGUCGAGCGGGGUGAUGGUGCUUGCACUAUCACUUAGCGGCGGACGGGUGAGUAAUGCUUAGGAAUCUGCCUAUUAGUGGGGGACAACAUCUCGAAAGGGAUGCUAAUACCGCAUACGUCCUACGGGAGAAAGCAGGGGAUCACUUGUGACCUUGCGCUAAUAGAUGAGCCUAAGUCGGAUUAGCGAGUUGGUGGGGUAAAGGCCUACCAAGGCGACGAUCUGUAGCGGGUCUGAGAGGAUGAUCCGCCACACUGGGACUGAGACACGGCCCAGACUCCGAAGGGAGGCAGCAGUGGGGAAUAUUGGACAAUGUGGGGAACCCUGAUCCAGCCAUGCCGCGUGUGUGAAGAAGGCCUUAUGGUUGUAAAGCACUUUAAGCGAGGAGGAGGCUCUUUUGGUUAAUACCCAAGAUGAGUGGACGUUACUCGCAGAAUAAGCACCGGCUAACUCUGUGCCAGCCGCCGCGGUAA